This 67-nucleotide transfer RNA is filed under the name Polychrus marmoratus (common monkey lizard). RNAcentral describes it as "tRNA-Ser specifying AGY codons". Lineage: Eukaryota; Metazoa; Chordata; Lepidosauria; Squamata; Polychrotidae. The record is from RNAcentral.
AAGAGAUGUUUCGAACACUAAGAACUGCUAAUUCUUAUCCCUGAAGUUAAAAUCUACAGACCUCUUA